AGCUGAUGCACAUGGCGGCUUCUCCUCCCAGUGCCGCCGCAGCAGCUGUUCCCCUCUGGAGGUUUUAUGACCUUCACACUUCAUGGGCCGCGGUUUUCCGUAGGCCCAUUUUU
This 113-nucleotide small RNA is filed under the name Ensifer canadensis. RNAcentral's name for it is "Alphaproteobacterial ar15". It matches the Rfam family "Alphaproteobacterial ar15". The record is from RNAcentral. Lineage: Bacteria; Pseudomonadati; Pseudomonadota; Alphaproteobacteria; Hyphomicrobiales; Rhizobiaceae.